Molecule: unclassified non-coding RNA, 243 nt
Filed under: Hevea brasiliensis (rubber tree)
Lineage: Eukaryota; Viridiplantae; Streptophyta; Magnoliopsida; Malpighiales; Euphorbiaceae
Source: RNAcentral
AUUCCAGUUGUUGGAUGGAUUAUACAGUAUCCUGUUCUGCUUCUUGAUCGCCUGAGAGGUGGUCCUGCUUGAGGAAUUUUUUUGGUCCAGUUCUUCUGAUAAAGUGCUUGAAUAUCCAUGUAUCUUUUCCAAUGCAAUUUAAAGAGGUGAUUAAGAGACUCGGAAUUUUAAGCCGGUCAAUUGUCCAUCUCUCGAUGAAAUCAAGAGGAGAAACUAUUGGAUAUGUGUCUUAGCAAUUGGGGG